CAUGUCUUUUUGAAAAUUAUUUAAAGUCUAAUCUGCCCACUGAAUUAUUUAAAGGGCCGCAGUAAUCUGACUGUGCAAAGGUAGCAUAAUCAUUUGUCUUUUAAUUGAAGGCUAGUAUGAAUGAUUGGACGAGGUAAAUACUGUCUCAUUAUUAGAAUAAUAAAAAUUUAGCUUUUUAGUCAAAAGGCUAAGAUUUUAUUGGAGGACAAGAAGACCCUAUAGAUCUUUAUGUUAUUAAAUAUGUUUUUAUUAUGGGUUUAUAAUUUUUAAUAUAUUUAUUAAUAUUUUGUUGGGGUGACAUGAAAAUUAAAAUAACUUUUCAUAUUUUAGAACAUUGAUUAAUGAUUUUAUGAUCCAUUCUUAUUGAUUAUAAGAAUAAGUUACCUUAGGGAUAACAGCGUUAUUUUAUUGGAUAGUUCAUAUUGAUAAUAAAGUUUGCGACCUC
RNAcentral lists this ribosomal RNA (445 nucleotides) under Barbibucca sp. BWK01. RNAcentral describes it as "partial 16S ribosomal RNA". It matches the Rfam family "Bacterial large subunit ribosomal RNA", at positions 1822 to 2527 of the family's 2925-position model. The record is from RNAcentral. Lineage: Eukaryota; Metazoa; Arthropoda; Insecta; Neuroptera; Nemopteridae.